Non-coding RNA from Drosophila melanogaster (fruit fly), 726 nucleotides. The record is from Ensembl. Lineage: Eukaryota; Metazoa; Arthropoda; Insecta; Diptera; Drosophilidae.
UAAAUAGUUUACCGGCUGUUAUUGGGUUAAUUCUGCAAUCCUUUUGCCCCUUCUCAGUGUGCCUGCCUGCGUGACUGCUCGUUCUUAUUUCCAUCCAUUUCGUGAAUAUCCUGCGGCCACACCACCACACACGUAGCCCAGCAGGAUGUGACCCCCCCUUCCCUUCCCCCCCCACCCCUUCGCCGCAUGCACUCAAUUAAGUGACAGUGUGUGGGUGCGGAGAGUCCUGUGUGUUGACUUGAGAACUUGGCACAACUUUUGCGUACGAGUUGCCCGACUACGUGACAGAGGUUGCAAGUGCCACGCCUCCUCCACCACCGCCGCCCCCUGCCCUUUUGAACCUCCUUGUUUACCCUUAAAGGUUCUGUUAUUUACACAGCUAGACACACCCAGAAAAAAAACGUGGUCAUUAAUGCUUAAAAAACAAAACCCACUUAGUUGUAUGGCAAAACCACUGAAAUAUAAGUAGAAAGUUCUGGCAAUGCAUCAUUUUCUUCACCAAAAAUCCCAUUUAGUUUCGCUUUAAGACACUCUGCUUAAAGUCCAACUAUCCAACUAUCCAACUAUCCAUGUAUCCAACUCCCACUUCAGCUCCACCUCCAACCCCCAGCUGUCCAUUUAUCUGUGUCCGAAUCUCCGGGUGAGUGUACGUGUGCAAAGUGCUGACCAUCUGCCGGCCGGCCGGUCUCCGUGCUUUUGGGGCGUGUUCGUUGCCCGGUUUGACAC